CCCACCCCCACGCCCCCGUGGUUCUGGUCGCCAGCCUCUGGCCAAUGCCCCUGCAGCCCAGCCCCCGUUUUCCUCCCUGGCACCACCGAGGGGGGCCCGGCCCAGGGCUCUCCAGGAGCCCGCCGUGGGCUGAGUACGGCCGAGGACUGGGCAGGCAGGGCAGCCGGUGGUCGCCGUCCCUCCAGGACACGAGUGCCCCUGCACAGGGGCGGAAGGGGAGGCCCGGGAGCCGGGGAGCCGCGGAGGCCAAGGGCCAGGCCGGCCAGGCCCCAGGGCAGGGCGGGGCGAUCCCAGCGUGCGGCCCUGAGGCACUGUCCCCACACCGCUCCACACUGUCCCGAAGCCCCGAGCGCCAGCCCGGACCCCCGGGACACGCCCCCCACCACACACACACACACACACACACACACACACACACACACACACUCCCCCCCCGACCCCCGGGACACACACCCCCACCCCACCCCCUGCACCCCCGCACCCCCGACCGCUGGGACACCCCCCACACACUCCCCUCCCCUCCAGCAACGCGCGGCGCUCCCAUCCCCCGGCAGCCCACCAGGUGGCGCUCGCUCCCCCAUUUCCCCCCCCCCUCCCGCGCCGACGCCCGUGACGUCAGCCGCCCGGCUCCAUUUGAGCGCCUCUCGGCAGCCGAGAACUCGGACUUCCCGUGUGGCUCACAACAUAACUACUCGGCGUUGCUUCUACAGUGGCUGUGGCUCGACCCCUGGCCUGGGAACUUCCAUAUGCCGCAGCCCCGCGGCGGCAGAUGGCACUCGUUCUGCCGCUUUUUCCUGGCUGUGUGCGAUGCCAUCGCAUGGAUGUCCCCGGGCCUUCGAAGUGCACUCACCUGUCAGUGGACCUUUAGGUGGCUUCCAGAUCUUGGCUCUGGUGAGUAGUGCGGCGACAGACAGAGGGGUGCCCGGGUCUGCUUCCGGGAAAGUUUGGUCCCGGUGAAAUGGAGCUGUUUGGAGGCCGGCUUCGGUCUUUGUGUGGGCCGGCCCGUGUAGGGCUGCUUGGCUGAGACUCUGUCGAGGAGGGAGGCCUUCAGCCACCGGGGCCUCACGGGGCCUCCCCGUGCGGCACCAUCACAGAGCUCUCCGUCACUGCCCCUGGUGGGGGUGAGGGAAGGGGCGUGUUUGGGGGGUGGGGUGGGCGGGGUGUGUGCGCGCGCGCGUGCACGCACGCUGGCGGGCGUGGGUGUCCCGGGGCCUGGCCAGCCCUCCGCUAGAGAUCAGCACGCGUGGAUGCUGACGUGAGGACCAGCAGGGUGACAAGAGAGGCUGCCUGGUGGGUGACCGCGCUGGGCAGAGCCACAACCCGCUCGCCUUUCAGUUCUCCACCCAGGGGCCCCUCCUGCGAGCCACCCAUAGGGGUCCCUGGUCCCUCCCUCAGACGUCGUCUCCACCGCGGCCCGAGAUCAUCUUUCUUCUCCAGUGGGUUCCUUGUCUCUUGCGUACCACCCUCUCCACCCCCCACCCCCACCCCCACCCCACCCCCACCCGGCUUGCCCUUGGACAGACGGCGAGAAGCUGACCGAGAGACCGAGACAGAGACAGGAGAUGAGCCGAGGCCGGUGGGCAAAUGGUGCAGAGAGGGCUUGUCCGACGCAGGGUUGCCCCAGAACUUCACACACACGCACGCACACACGGACACACACGCACAGACACACGCCCGCGCACACACACACACGCACACCAGCCCCGGCCCAGCGGCCCGGCGACCCCUCUCUGUGAACGGCCUUGAGGCCACGUGCCGGGCCACGCGGAUCCCCCAGUGCCCGAGGGCCCUGGCGGCCCACAGGGAUCCAAGGGCAAGGCGGGUGGGAGGCUGGCAGGGUCCACGUGCCACGAGAAGCAUGGCUUGCAGGCACGACCUCUGCCCAGAGCCUGUUUCCGC
RNAcentral lists this long non-coding RNA (1899 nucleotides) under Sus scrofa (pig). RNAcentral describes it as "lncRNA (ENSSSCG00070000873.1)". Lineage: Eukaryota; Metazoa; Chordata; Mammalia; Artiodactyla; Suidae. The record is from RNAcentral.